This 125-nucleotide small RNA is filed under the name Marmota monax (woodchuck). Lineage: Eukaryota; Metazoa; Chordata; Mammalia; Rodentia; Sciuridae. The record is from RNAcentral.
GCCAGGUGGGGUGGUGCACGACUGUAAUCCCAGCAGCUCAGGAGGCUGAGGUAGGAGGAUCACAAGUUCAAAGCCAGCCUCAGCAAUGGCGAGGUGCUAGGCAACUCAGUGAGACUCUGUCUCUC